UACAGAGGUGGCAAGCGUUGUUCGGAUUUACUGGGCGUAAAGGGCGCGUAGGCGGCCACGUCAAGUCAGUUGUGAAAUCUCUGGGCUUAACUCAGAACGGUCAACUGAUACUGUCGGGCUAGAGUGCAGAAGGGGCAACUGGAAUUCUCGGUGUAGCGGUGAAAUGCGUAGAUAUCGAGAGGAACACCUGCGGCGAAGGCGGGUUGCUGGGCUGACACUGACGCUGAGGCGCGAAAGCUAGGGGAGCGAACGGG
This 254-nucleotide ribosomal RNA is filed under the name uncultured bacterium. RNAcentral's name for it is "partial 16S ribosomal RNA". It matches the Rfam family "Bacterial small subunit ribosomal RNA", at positions 524 to 776 of the family's 1533-position model. The record is from RNAcentral.